ACGGUAGCUGUCUGCAAGUCGAGACAGGCUAGCUGAGCUUGCUCUCGGGUGACGAGCGGCGGACGGGUGAGUAAUGUCUGGGAAACUGCCUGAUGGAGGGGGAUAACUACUGGAAACGGUAGCUAAUACCGCAUAAUGUCGCAAGACCAAAGUGGGGGACCUUCGGGCCUCAUGCCAUCAGAUGUGCCCAGAUGGGAUUAGCUAGUAGGUGGGGUAACGGCUCACCUAGGCGACGAUCCCUAGCUGGUCUGAGAGGAUGACCAGCCACACUGGAACUGAGACACGGUCCAGACUCCUACGGGAGGCAGCAGUGGGGAAUAUUGCACAAUGGGCGCAAGCCUGAUGCAGCCAUGCCGCGUGUGUGAAGAAGGCCUUCGGGUUGUAAAGCACUUUCAGCGGGGAGGAAGGCGAUAAGGUUAAUAACCUUGUCGAUUGACGUUACCCGCAGAAGAAGCACCGGCUAACUCCGUGCCAGCAGCCGCGGUAAUACGGAGGGUGCAAGCGUUAAUCGGAAUUACUGGGCGUAAAGCGCACGCAGGCGGUCUGUCAAGUCGGAUGUGAAAUCCCCGGGCUCAACCUGGGAACUGCAUUCGAAACUGGCAGGCUAGAGUCUUGUAGAGGGGGGUAGAAUUCCAGGUGUAGCGGUGAAAUGCGUAGAGAUCUGGAGGAAUACCGGUGGCGAAGGCGGCCCCCUGGACAAAGACUGACGCUCAGGUGCGAAAGCGUGGGGAGCAAACAGGAUUAGAUACCCUGGUAGUCCACGCCGUAAACGAUGUCGAUUUGGAGGUUGUGCCCUUGAGGCGUGGCUUCCGGAGCUAACGCGUUAAAUCGACCGCCUGGGGAGUACGGCCGCAAGGUUAAAACUCAAAUGAAUUGACGGGGGCCCGCACAAGCGGUGGAGCAUGUGGUUUAAUUCGAUGCAACGCGAAGAACCUUACCUGGUCUUGACAUCCACAGAACUUUCCAGAAAUGGAUUGGUGCCUUCGGGAACUGUGAAACAGGUGCUGCAUGGCUGUCGUCACCUCGUGUUGUGAAAUGUUGGGUUAAGUCCCCCACCAACCCAACCCUUAUCCUUUGUUGCCACCGGUCCGGCCGGGAACUCCAAGGAAACUGCCAUUUAAAACUGGAAGAAAGUGGGGGAUAACUUCAAGUCUCUGGCCCUUACAACCAGGGCUACCCUUGCUACAAGGGCAAUAACAAAGAAAACCACCUCCCCGAAGCAACCGGACCUCAAAAGUUUGCCCAAUCCCGGAUGGAAUCUGCAACCCGGAUCCCUGAAUCGAAACCGGGAAUUCCGAAACCCAAAAUUCCCAGGAAAUCUUUUCGGGGCCUUUAAACCCCCCCCCCUCCACCUGGGAUUGGGUUUCAAAAAAAAAUGAAAACCAAACCUUCGGGAGGCCCUUACCUUUUUGGGGGGAAAUCCAAAAAGAACAGAGCUGGGCUAGUGCUAAUACGCGAUGGCUGGAUUGCGGGG
Molecule: ribosomal RNA, 1474 nt
Filed under: Klebsiella pneumoniae subsp. pneumoniae
Lineage: Bacteria; Pseudomonadati; Pseudomonadota; Gammaproteobacteria; Enterobacterales; Enterobacteriaceae
Description: bacterial SSU rRNA
Rfam family: Bacterial small subunit ribosomal RNA
Source: RNAcentral